This 582-nucleotide non-coding RNA is filed under the name Amborella trichopoda. RNAcentral's name for it is "Bacterial small subunit ribosomal RNA". It matches the Rfam family "Bacterial small subunit ribosomal RNA", at positions 289 to 820 of the family's 1533-position model. Lineage: Eukaryota; Viridiplantae; Streptophyta; Magnoliopsida; Amborellales; Amborellaceae. The record is from Rfam by way of RNAcentral.
ACCCUUAAAAUAUAGAAGUGCACUACAAAGUCCUCCCUUUCCUUUUGGUCCAAAACUUUGCAAGUUCGUCAUGUACAUAUGGGGGAUUGAACUAAUAGGGCUAAGGCACGGUCUAUGGUCCUACAGGAAGCAGCAGGGAGGAAUUUUCCACAAUGGGCGAAAGCCUAACAAUCAAUCUUGUGUGAAGGUAGAAGUUCCACGGGUUGUGAACUUCUUUUUCCAAAGAAGAAGCAAUGAUUAUAUCUAAGGAAUAAGCAUCAGCUAACUUUGUGCUAGUAGCUGCGGUAAGACAAAGGAUGCAAGUGUUGUUCGGAAUGAUCGGGCGUAAAGCGUCUAUAAAUGGCUUUUCAAGUCUGACGUCAAAUCCCAAGGCUCAACCUUGGACAGGCGGUGGAAACUACAAAGCUGGAGUAUAGUAGGGGCAGAAAGAGUUUCUGAUGGAGCGAUAAAAUGUGUAAACAUUGGAAAGAACACCAAAGGCGAAAGCAUUUUGUUGGGUCGACAUUGACUCUAAGAGACGAAAGGUGCUAGAAUCCAUAGCUCCAUUUUCGUGCAACUUCCCAUUGAUUGAUUUAUUUUUUU